Molecule: non-coding RNA, 154 nt
Organism: Candidatus Brocadia sinica JPN1
Lineage: Bacteria; Pseudomonadati; Planctomycetota; Candidatus Brocadiia; Candidatus Brocadiales; Candidatus Brocadiaceae
Source: Rfam
GAAAGCCGUAUGAGGGAAAACCUCACGUACGGUUGUGUGAGAAGAUGCUGGAAAUAGGGUAUGGUUGAGAUGGUGUGACACUCUCAGAGGAAACGGAGAGAAACGGGGAAGACAAACCUUGACCUGUAGUCACUACGCCUGUGUUUUACUCUAC